ACGGCAUGAUGAGGACAUUUUAUGAUGAGAUCAUUUAAUCGUUCCCAUGAUUCAUGGAACUACUCACCAUCUUGUUCUGAGAAGCUAGUGAGAGCUCGUCUUAUCU
This 106-nucleotide small nucleolar RNA is filed under the name Cephalotus follicularis. Its description in RNAcentral is "Plant small nucleolar RNA R71". It matches the Rfam family "Plant small nucleolar RNA R71". Rfam says of the family: R71 is a member of the C/D box family of snoRNAs containing the C (UGAUGA) and D (CUGA) box motifs. Multiple nearly identical copies of this snoRNA have been identified in Arabidopsis, and it is thought to function as a 2'-O-ribose methylation guide for 18S ribosomal RNA. Lineage: Eukaryota; Viridiplantae; Streptophyta; Magnoliopsida; Oxalidales; Cephalotaceae. The record is from Rfam by way of RNAcentral.